This 76-nucleotide non-coding RNA is filed under the name Desulfovibrio sp. The record is from RNAcentral. Lineage: Bacteria; Pseudomonadati; Thermodesulfobacteriota; Desulfovibrionia; Desulfovibrionales; Desulfovibrionaceae.
ACGCGAAACAGCGCCGCCCGCAAGGGCGGCGCUGUCUGCCGGGCGUGGUUGCCCGGUACUGAUGAGCAAGCCAAAG